Molecule: long non-coding RNA, 268 nt
Organism: Electrophorus electricus (electric eel)
Lineage: Eukaryota; Metazoa; Chordata; Actinopteri; Gymnotiformes; Gymnotidae
Source: RefSeq, a predicted model, not a curated record
UGCUUGAGUAAUAAGAAAGUAACACGGAGACGUCUUUAACCACCAGAACAGUGUUCCCAGUUCUGCCUGAGACGUGAUGAAGGCAACACUAGUCCUUCUGUUCUCUGCUUCUUAUGUGGCAGCAGCCCAUUACUCUUGUUGGCCUUCAUUCGAUGAGGAAGACUUCCGUGAGGAAGAGUAUGAAGAGGAAGACUGUGAUGAGGGCGACUGAUAGAGAUUCUGAAGGCUGAAUACAAAAAUGAUGCCUGGAUCUUUUCAGGGAUGGAGC